GUUGGGCUCCGGUUUUGUCGCUCUUUUCGGCCCGAGACCAUGGGAUUCACCCUCUAACCCUAAUUUCUCUAUCGGCAACCUUGCAGUUCAUCUCUCCCUUUCCUGCGACAGCCACUCCUAACGCCUGAGUUUCCUCUCCCUGUAUGAAACGGACGGAGUUGUGACUUCGCCUUUAUUCCAAUUAAUUUUCAUGUGUCGUUCGUCUCUCUGAGGCAGUGUUAGAUCGGUAUAAAUAAGUGGUUAUUUCUCAUAUCGAACUCAUCCUCUGUUUCUAUCUCUUGCAAUAUACUGAUUCGUGUUGUUAUGGCUAAUUUCGAGAGUUUGCUUCUCCAACUUGAAGUCCGGCGGUUGCUCUUCUGUCGUGGAGGCUAGGCUGCUGUGGUUCUGGGAGGCAAGAAAUGUCAUACAUGGUGUUGGGCUCAUGUGGGUUGAAAUGAUCUAUGUAAAUGCUCCAUUGGUUAGUUCCAACCACAAAUGCUUCUACAAGUCUCACUGAUUGGGUUUCUGAUAAACGGUUUCAAGUCGGAGACACCAGUUUUCUCUGUGGUUAAAAGGAUUAAGUACAAGAAAGAUUCGAUUACGUAAGAUAAAACUCCUGGGAAGAGAGAUUCAGUGAACACAAAACAAAGAAAUGCUGCUGGGUUGGAUUGAAGACGUGUUCCAGAAAUGUACACCAAACUGGGAUCGGAAAUCUUUGAUUAAAGUGCUCGACUUUGUUAGUAGGAUAUUACGUGGAAGCGAAGAUCCACGAGACGUUUUCUUUACCAUGUCACUGAAGCUUGAUAUUGAGAGCUAGAAGAAAGCAGAGAGGAAGAACUAGAGAGAAUUGUGAGGCUGAAGCAAGCAAAGACAGACAUUCUCCACCUAAAAGCUAACAAAGAAAAGUGGAGGCUGAUUGGUGGAUUAUUUGUAAGGACGUGGACAAUAUUCAAACGCUAGAUGCAAAGCUGUUUUGAUUACUUGAUUUGCUAACACCACCGUCAGUUUAUUCUUACCUUCAUCACCUUAUCUCUUAAGAGUUGCACAGAUUUUUUUAUUUCUUUCACUAGAGAAACAGAUGCUUAUCAUUAAUUUGUUCCUACUAUUGACCACUCUAUUCUGUUUUCAUUGUUUAAGGUAUGUGCAUGUUGCAGAGUUUAAACACCUCCUCCGUGUUAAGCUAACACCAAAGAAUGAAUACUUAUGUUUACCUGUUCUAAGCCAUGACAGAACUCUCAAGCUUCCAAAAGAAUAUGAUACUACAACCGUUUGGUGUUUGUGCACCAGUAUUGGAAGGAUCCUCGGUCAGUCUUAUAUGCUUGCUCCAACGGGAUUGUGCAUCGGUGGCACAAAUUACAUGGUAAUCCAGUGAGAGCCAUAUUUUGUCAUUCGAGGGAAGAAGGUAACAUAACUGAUUAUGAUGAAUCUAUUACCUUGUUUUGGUAAAAAUCUUUUGCCUUUUUGUUCCAAGGCAGUUGUUUUUAGUGAAUUAGUUAUACUUUUUGCUUUACAUUGUUGGGAUCUGGUGGUGUUUAACUCAAGAAGACCACCCAACCUUUUGGUCUUUUCUGUGAAAAACCAAUGACUCCUGGACAAUGCAAUAUGGUUGUACAGAGGCUUGGUGACUACCUGAUUGAAUCAGGAAUCUGAAACUCAAGCUGCUGCUAUGUUCAUGUCACCAAUAUUGUCUUCAUAUUGAGAGGAAAACUAUUUAUAUUAUGAAAUGGGUUCGAUCAUUUUAAUAUUCCAACUGUGUCUUACUUUCUAUCAUACGAUGGAUCUCGGGAUUGUAUGAUUCUAAAGCAGUCUGGUAUUGUCUUCAUUUGUGUCAGUAGGAAAUUGUAAUUCAUGGCAGUGUCGUACCACAGCUUUUUAUAGAGUUUAUGAUUAGUUCUUGAGAUUAA
Long non-coding RNA from Brassica rapa (field mustard), 1883 nucleotides. RefSeq lists it as uncharacterized. The record is from RefSeq and is a predicted model, not a curated record. NCBI's taxonomy places the organism in Eukaryota, Viridiplantae, Streptophyta, Magnoliopsida, Brassicales, Brassicaceae.